GCCGGUGUGGUGGAAUAGGUAGACACAGGAGACUUAAAAUCUCCCGGUAGCAAUACUGUACCGGUUCGAGUCCGGUCACCGGCACCA
RNAcentral lists this transfer RNA (87 nucleotides) under Dysosmobacter sp. RNAcentral describes it as "tRNA-Leu". It matches the Rfam family "tRNA". From Rfam's summary of the family: Transfer RNA (tRNA) molecules are approximately 80 nucleotides in length. Their secondary structure includes four short double-helical elements and three loops (D, anti-codon, and T loops). The record is from RNAcentral. Lineage: Bacteria; Bacillati; Bacillota; Clostridia; Eubacteriales; Oscillospiraceae.